GAGUUUGAUCGUGGCUCAGAUUGAACGCUGGCGGCGUGCCUAACACAUGCAAGUCGAGCGGUAACAGGUGUAGCAAUACAUGCUGACGAGCGGCGGACGGGUGAGCAAUAUUUGGGAAUCUGCCUAUUAGUGGGGGACAACCCGGGGAAACUCGGGCUAAUACCGCAUACGCACUACGGUGGAAAGCCGGGGACCGCAAGGCCUGGCGCUAAUAGAUGAGCCCAAAUCGGAUUAGCUAGUUGGUGAGGUAAUGGCUCACCAAGGCGACAAUCCGUAGCUGGUCUGAGAGGACGACCAGCCACACCGGAACUGAGACACGGUCCGGACUCCUACGGGAGGCAGCAGUGGGGAAUAUUGGACAAUGGGGGAAACCC
RNAcentral lists this ribosomal RNA (374 nucleotides) under uncultured Gammaproteobacteria bacterium. Its description in RNAcentral is "bacterial SSU rRNA". It matches the Rfam family "Bacterial small subunit ribosomal RNA", at positions 9 to 383 of the family's 1533-position model. Lineage: Bacteria; Pseudomonadati; Pseudomonadota; Gammaproteobacteria. The record is from RNAcentral.